This is a non-coding RNA of Tuber brumale (winter truffle), 99 nucleotides long. The record is from the annotation of a GenBank genome assembly. Lineage: Eukaryota; Fungi; Ascomycota; Pezizomycetes; Pezizales; Tuberaceae.
GGUAAGAUGGCUGAGUUGGUUAUGGCGCUAGGCCAGGGUUAUCUUAACAUGCAUCCUGGUUCGGGAAACUGAGCGUGAGUCCAAGUUCCACUCUUCUCA